CAUGUACUCCCUCCGUUCGGAAUUACUUGUCGUGAGAAUGGAUGUAUCUAGAACUAAAAUAGGUCUAGAUACAUCCAUUUCCCCAACAAGUAUUUCCGGACAGAAGGAGUACUAA
Molecule: non-coding RNA, 115 nt
Organism: Triticum aestivum (bread wheat)
Lineage: Eukaryota; Viridiplantae; Streptophyta; Magnoliopsida; Poales; Poaceae
Source: Rfam